This 73-nucleotide transfer RNA is filed under the name Cavia porcellus (domestic guinea pig). It matches the Rfam family "tRNA". Rfam says of the family: Transfer RNA (tRNA) molecules are approximately 80 nucleotides in length. Their secondary structure includes four short double-helical elements and three loops (D, anti-codon, and T loops). Further hydrogen bonds mediate the characteristic L-shaped molecular structure. tRNAs have two regions of fundamental functional importance: the anti-codon, which is responsible for specific mRNA codon recognition, and the 3' end, to which the tRNAs corresponding amino acid is attached (by aminoacyl-tRNA synthetases). tRNAs cope with the degeneracy of the genetic code in two manners: having more than one tRNA (with a specific anti-codon) for a particular amino acid; and 'wobble' base-pairing, i.e. permitting non-standard base-pairing at the 3rd anti-codon position. Lineage: Eukaryota; Metazoa; Chordata; Mammalia; Rodentia; Caviidae. The record is from Rfam by way of RNAcentral.
GGGGAUAUGGCUCAGUGGCAUAAACACCUGCCUGGUGAGUGCAAGGACCUGAGUUUGAUUCUCAGUAUCCUCC